This 97-nucleotide ribosomal RNA is filed under the name uncultured bacterium. Its description in RNAcentral is "partial 16S ribosomal RNA". It matches the Rfam family "Bacterial small subunit ribosomal RNA", at positions 1386 to 1482 of the family's 1533-position model. The record is from RNAcentral.
CACACCGCCCGUCACACCAUGAAAGCCUAUUGUACCAGAAGUUAUUGUGCUAACCGUAAGGAGGCAGAUGCCUAAGGUAUGGUCGGUGAUUGGGGUG